GAUGAACGCUGGCGGCGUGCCUAAUACAUGCAAGUCGAGCGAACAGACGAGGAGCUUGCUCCUCUGACGUUAGCGGCGGACGGGUGAGUAACACGUGGAUAACCUACCUAUAAGACUGGGAUAACUUCGGGAAACCGGAGCUAAUACCGGAUAAUAUAUUGAACCGCAUGGUUCAAUAGUUAAAGACGGUUUUGCUGUCACUUAUAGAUGGAUCCGCGCCGCAUUAGCUAGUUGGUAAGGUAACGGCUCACCAAGGCAACGAUGCGUAGCCGACCUGAGAGGGUGAUCGGCCACACUGGAACUGAGACACGGUCCAGACUCCUACGGGAGGCAGCAGUAGGGAAUCUUCCGCAAUGGGCGAAAGCCUGACGGAGCAACGCCGCGUGAGUGAUGAAGGUCUUCGGAUCGUAAAACUCUGUUAUUAGGGAAGAACAAAUGUGUAAGUAACUAUGCACGUCUUGACGGUACCUAAUCAGAAAGCUACGGCUAACUACGUG
RNAcentral lists this ribosomal RNA (497 nucleotides) under uncultured bacterium. RNAcentral describes it as "partial 16S ribosomal RNA". It matches the Rfam family "Bacterial small subunit ribosomal RNA", at positions 28 to 507 of the family's 1533-position model. The record is from RNAcentral.